UACGAGGGGUGCAAGCGUUGCUCGGAAUUAUUGGGCGUAAAGGGUAGGUAGGUGGUCUCAUUUGUCUGGGGUGAAAGCCUCGAGCUUAACUCAAGAAGUGCCCCAGAAACGGUGAGACUAGAGUUCUGGAGAGGGUCGUGGAAUUCCCGGUGUAGCGGUGAAAUGCGUAGAGAUCGGGAGGAAGACCAGAGGCGAAGGCGGCGACCUGGACAGAUACUGACACUCAACUACGAAAGCGUGGGGAGCAAACAGG
RNAcentral lists this ribosomal RNA (253 nucleotides) under uncultured bacterium. RNAcentral's name for it is "partial 16S ribosomal RNA". It matches the Rfam family "Bacterial small subunit ribosomal RNA", at positions 524 to 776 of the family's 1533-position model. The record is from RNAcentral.